GUCGCCAGGCACCGGCCACGGCGCACGCCAACAUCCAGGAUAAUUCUCCUUUCCAAGCCCGGGAGUUCCGGGGCAGGCGAAAAAGGGGGGAUGGGAGACCCACAGUCCCUUUAACCCUCCCCCCUGGCCUGCCAACCUUUUCCGAACCCCCAUGUCACACAACUUCCUCAUCAUGGAAACUUCCACUGGGUUCGGCGCUGAGGAUGCCAAACUCCAUUUCACAAGGAACAUGUCAACAGCUGGGCUUGGGGUUUGAGGAACAGAGCCGCUGCGAUUGGAACAGAGCCCGGCCACCCUGUUCCACCACUGUCCACUCCGUAGCUCCCAGCCUGCCGCCGCGCGGUGCCCGAACACGAGAGGGCACCUCCUCCCAGAUCCGGGGCGCAGAAGCCCCGCGGAGGCAGGGAAGUUCCUGGGCUUUGCUCCAAAGCUGCCCCGGAAUGUUUUGGUUGGUUUGGAGAAAAGCUGUGGCGUCUACACCACUUGUUCCAAGCAGGCGGCCCCCUGGUGGCUAACGGGGGGUGAGAAAGCUGGCCACUGAGGAAGAAGUCUGGCGCAGGUAGGCCCCAACAGUUGACAACCUAGUCUUCGGGUCUUCUUCACAGCGUGUGAACAGCUUAGUAUUACCGCGGGGGGGCGGGAGGGGGUUGGGGGGUGGUGAGGUGAAGCAAAUCUUCCUUCAACACGGUGGAUCAUGGGCUUCUCGGCCUACUGGAACUUUUAAUUUUUUUCUCUUCCUGAGUAUAACUUGGAGCUAAAUUAUUUAAGAAGGAGACAUACAGAGGACAAAAUGAAAUGUAACAAAAACUGUUGCUUCUCUUUGUUCAAGGGCUUUGUCUUUCUGAUCUCAUUUUGCCCAGAAAAUUCAGAAAUGAGCCAAUUAAAGCAUGAAAUAAAUAAAGGGCGUGGCAUUAUUCAAACAACUCAUCAUGCUACCUGCAUGCAACACAAGGAGUUAUUGGAUAGGCACAUGAGGCUGGAAAAGGUAGAAGAUUCUGAGGCCCUGGGCGGGAACUAGUAAGCCACAAUCUGGAAGAGUCUUUUACCACCAUGUGGAGGAGAACUAGAGCACUCAUGUUGAACUAUUACCGAGAAAAGUAAUCAACUUCUUUUGUGUUAAGUCACUGAAAGGCAAGUGUUGAUUUGUUGCAGUAAUUGGUGCUCCCUUAACACACCUGUCAGCCGGGCCAAACUCUAUCACAGCAUAAAUAAUCUUUUCCUUAAAUAAAUACAGGUAAAAGAAUAAAGUAGACCUAAAUGCAUUAAUAUGAAUAUAGGCUCAAAGCAAAAUGUUGGGCUAUAAAUGUUCAGAGUGAUAAUUUUUUAAGUUGAUGUGUAAUUUAGUACAGUAAAAUAGAUAAAACCUAAAUGUUCAGUUCAAUGAAUUUUUACAUGUUCAUGCCCCUGUAUAAUCACCUCCCAGAACAACAUAGAAAAUACUUCAUAUAAAUGGAAUCAUACAGUGU
This 1466-nucleotide long non-coding RNA is filed under the name Homo sapiens (human). RNAcentral's name for it is "HSALNT0052132". Lineage: Eukaryota; Metazoa; Chordata; Mammalia; Primates; Hominidae. The record is from RNAcentral.